GGAAUAUAAGAAUCCGUCUCUUAACUUUUAACUAAAAAAACUAAGAACCGAUUCUUAAUUUUUUUAGUUAAAAAUUAAGAGACGGGUUCUUAUAUUCC
This 98-nucleotide microRNA precursor is filed under the name Brassica napus (rape). RNAcentral describes it as "MIR9563 microRNA precursor family". It matches the Rfam family "MIR9563 microRNA precursor family". Lineage: Eukaryota; Viridiplantae; Streptophyta; Magnoliopsida; Brassicales; Brassicaceae. The record is from Rfam by way of RNAcentral.